Pelobates cultripes (western spadefoot toad) is the source of this 279-nucleotide non-coding RNA. The record is from the annotation of a GenBank genome assembly. Lineage: Eukaryota; Metazoa; Chordata; Amphibia; Anura; Pelobatidae.
GAUAUGUGAACACAACCCCAGUGAGAAAAGUGUAUAAUUUAAAGCAGACCGGAGCUUCCCUGUGUCAGGUAAAGAAUCCAGAUAGGUCCCCAAAGACUUCCUCCUGUCUUCAACAAAUAGAAUAGGGGAUAAUCUGCUAAAUACAGAAUAAAUAAAAUAACAUGGCGUUUAACUGUGUGAGAGUAAGUAACAAAAUGUUAGUUACAAUUAGCCACUCACAAAUUCCCAGAUGUAAAACAGCCUUUAGUAAAAUCUCUCCUCCAAUAUCCACUGUAUUUU